GAACCAGGGGGUCGGGUUGUUCUGCUAAAGCGGAGCGACCUAGGGGUACAUGGAGUACCUCCAUAACGGACCGGGUUCUGCGAGGC
The submitters of this non-coding RNA (86 nucleotides) gave its source as unclassified sequences. The record is from Rfam.